RNAcentral lists this small RNA (875 nucleotides) under Pan troglodytes (chimpanzee). Its description in RNAcentral is "processed transcript". The record is from RNAcentral. Lineage: Eukaryota; Metazoa; Chordata; Mammalia; Primates; Hominidae.
UGAGGCCAGCCCCACGGUGGACUCCUUCCGGCCCGGCUUUGAUGUGGCCCUCCCUUUUCUCCCUGAAGCCCACCCGCUGCGAGGUGGGGCUCCUGGCCAGCUGCGGCAACACAGCCCCCAGCCCGGGGUAGCCCUGCUAGCCCUGGAAGAGGAGAGGGGUGGGUGGCGCACAGCAGACACCGGCUCCUCUGCCUGCCCCUGGGAUGGGCGCUGUGAGCAAGACCCUGGACCUGGGCAGACCCAGCGCCAGGAGACGCUGCCCAAUGCCACCUUCUGCCUCAUCUCUGGCCACCGUCCCGAGGCUGCCUCACGCUUCCUCCAAGCCCUGCAGGUCCUGGCUGCCCUCCAGGAGAUGUCCCCUGCACGGGUCCUCGCCCUGCGUCAGCAGACCCAGUUUCUAUGGGAUGCCUACUUCUCCUCAGUGGAGAAGGUCAUCCAUACCACUCUGGAGGUUAUUCAGGACCGGAUUUUUGGAACAUCAGCUCACCCCUCACUGCUGUGGAACAGCCCCCCAGGGGCACUCCUGGCCCUGUCUACUUUUUCCACAAGCCCCCAGGACUUCCCUUUCUACUACCUGCAACAGGGUAUGCCCUGGGGAUGGGACAACCUGAAGUCCCCUCAGCUCUACCCAGGGCUGCCCCAGCCUCAUCUGGAGAGCCCCACCAAGACCCUUUCCAAGCCCUGACAUUUUUCCUGGCCCCCGGGGAUUCCCUACUCAGGUCAUUCUUCAUGGGGUUCUGUUCCCUCCCACUCUAAUAGCCUGUGUCUCAUUCCCCCAGGCUCCCGCCCUGAGGGCAGAUUCAGCGCCCUGAUCUGGGUGGGGCCCCCAGGCCAGCCCCCUCUGAAGCUCAUCCAGGCGGUGGCAGGCUCCCAGC